AUACGGAGGGAGCUAGCGUUGUUCGGAAUUACUGGGCGUAAAGCGCGCGUAGGCGGCUAUUUAAGUCAGGGGUGAAAUCCCGGGGCUCAACCCCGGAACUGCCUUUGAAACUGGAUAGCUAGAAUCUUGGAGAGGUCAGUGGAAUUCCGAGUGUAGAGGUGAAAUUCGUAGAUAUUCGGAAGAACACCAGUGGCGAAGGCGACUCGCUGGACAGGUAUUGACGCUGAGGUGCGAAAGCGUGGGGAGC
RNAcentral lists this ribosomal RNA (247 nucleotides) under uncultured bacterium. Its description in RNAcentral is "partial 16S ribosomal RNA". It matches the Rfam family "Bacterial small subunit ribosomal RNA", at positions 523 to 769 of the family's 1533-position model. The record is from RNAcentral.